Molecule: ribosomal RNA, 503 nt
Filed under: uncultured bacterium
Lineage: Bacteria
Description: partial 16S ribosomal RNA
Rfam family: Bacterial small subunit ribosomal RNA
Source: RNAcentral
AUUGAACGCUGGCGGCAGGCUUAACACAUGCAAGUCGAGCGGGGUGAUGGUGCUUGCACUAUCACUUAGCGGCGGACGGGUGAGUAAUGCUUAGGAAUCUGCCUAUUAGUGGGGGACAACAUCUCGAAAGGGAUGCUAAUACCGCAUACGUCCUACGAGAGAAAGCAGGGGAUCACUUGUGACCUUGCGCUAAUAGAUGAGCCUAAGUCGGAUUAGCUAGUUUGUGGGGUAAAGGCCUACCAAGGCGACGAUCUGUAGCGGGUCUGAGAGGAUGAUCCGCCACACUGGGACUGAGACACGGCCCAGACUCCCACGGGAGGCAGCAGUGGGGAAUAUUGGACAAUGGGGGGAACCCUGAUCCAGCCAUGCCGCGUGUGUGAAGAAGGCCUUAUGGUUGUAAAGCACUUUAAGCGAGGAGGAGGCUCUUUUGGUUAAUACCCAAGAUGAGUGGACGUUACUCGCAGAAUAAGCACCGGCUAACUCUGUGCCAGCCGCCGCGGUAA